This is a non-coding RNA of Oncorhynchus mykiss (rainbow trout), 689 nucleotides long. The record is from RefSeq and is a predicted model, not a curated record. Lineage: Eukaryota; Metazoa; Chordata; Actinopteri; Salmoniformes; Salmonidae.
UAGAUAUGGUAAGUGUUACUAUCCUCAAGGAGAUAGGUUGGUUAGACUUGGUAAGUGUUACUAUCCUCAAGGAGAUAGGUUGGUUAGAUUUGGUAAGUGUUACUAUCCUCAAGGAGAUAGGUUGGUUAGAUUUGGUAAGUGUUACUAUCCUCAAGGAGAUAGGUUGGUUAGAUUUGGUAAGUGUUACUAUCCUCAAGGAGAUAGGUUGGUUAGAUUUGGUAAGUGUUACUAUCCUCAAGGAGAUAGGUUGGUUAGAUUUGGUAAGUGUUACUAUCCUCAAGGAGAUAGGUUGGUUAGAUAUGGUAAGUGUUACUAUCCUCAAGGAGAUAGGUUGGUUAGAUUUGGUAAGUGUUACUAUCCUCAAGGAGAUAGGUUGGUUAGAUUUGGUAAGUGUUACUAUCCUCAAGGAGAUAGGUUGGUUAGAUUUGGUAAGUGUUACUAUCCUCAAGGAGAUAGGUUGGUUAGAUAUGGUAAGUGUUACUAUCCUCAAGGAGAUAGGUUGGUUAGACUUGGUAAGUGUUACUAUCCUCAAGGAGAGGGGUUGGUUAGAUAUGGUAAAUGUUAGUAUCUGCGUGUUGAUUGUAGCCUUUGUCAAAGCGCUCUAGCUAGAGCUGGCCUCACCCAAAUGGCUGUUGCGCAGUUGUGUCCCUGAAAAUGUGCAUAAAGAUGAUCUCCUGUAGCUUAUUGUG